This 915-nucleotide long non-coding RNA is filed under the name Androctonus crassicauda. Lineage: Eukaryota; Metazoa; Arthropoda; Arachnida; Scorpiones; Buthidae. The record is from RNAcentral.
AAAUCACGCUUGACAUACAUCAAUAAUAUGAGUAUCUGUAAUGUACUUAUUGCAUUUUUCAAUGGUUUGCAACCAUAUAAAAUCAUUUAACUUCAUAAAGCAAUGAUACACAUUAGUCCAAUUGUGUAAGCAUCUAAUAUAUUUUUUAUCUUCAUCUCUGUAAUAUAAAAUAUAGAUUAUUUAUAUAUUUAUCUUUUCAUUUAAAGUUUAAAAAAGAUAUUUAGGAUUUUGAUAGAAUAUUGUUUAGUAUUAUUAUGGAUAUGUUCAUACUGUGGAUCCGGCAGACGAUUAAGACAGGCGUUAGCCUAUUGCGGUUUUGUGAUUGUUGCGCAGGUAAGCAUGGCAAAGUGAGAGUCAUUCCAACACAAAUAGAGACAGACAACCACAAUUAAUGUAAACAUGAAAACUUUAUUGAGAGAGAAAUGAAUAGACAUUUUCCUCUAUGGAGGAUAAAUACCUGUGUAACUGGUGUACAAAGAAAAUCUGUUCAUAAGAAAAUCCACAAGGAUGUCUCCUCUUUUCGUCCUUCUCUAUUUUUUCUUGAAUUAUAUUAAAGACAAUCUUUAGUCCAAUAAAAUGGAACACACUCUUUACUCCAUAUGAGGGUCACAGAAAUAUGAAUGGAGAUUGUUGCACUGGAGCAAUUUAGUAUUUUUCAUCUUCUCCCUAGAAGUUUCUGUCUGUUUUUCCCAUCUCCUCUUCUGAUCGAUUCCUUGCGAAAUGUCGCAACCUACUCGGUUGAUUUUUGUCCAACUGCUCCUUCUGAAUCGGUUCUCCUCCUCCUCGAUUGGUUGCAAAACUCUUCUCUUCCCUUUUCAGAAAGAUGAUGAUCUGAUUACAUUCCUUUAUUUAUUUAUUUAUUUUUUCCUUUUUCCCACCACCUGCGUGUCCUUCGGUUCACCAGUUGACCAUUCU